Molecule: unclassified non-coding RNA, 210 nt
Filed under: Chytridiomycota sp.
Lineage: Eukaryota; Fungi; Chytridiomycota
Description: partial contains small subunit ribosomal RNA, internal transcribed spacer 1, and 5.8S ribosomal RNA
Rfam family: Eukaryotic small subunit ribosomal RNA (bases 1-47)
Source: RNAcentral
AAAGUCGUAACAAGGUAACCGUAGGUGAACCUGCGGUUGGAUCAUUAACGAUUCGUGCCCUGACAAAGGGUCGAUCUACACCUGUGAACCGUAAACGCGAGGUCGUGCUUCGGUGCGGCCUCCCGUGAACACACCACUUGCAACAUUGACUGAAUCAUCACAAAAGUGAUAACAAAAAAACAACUUUCGACAAUGGAUCUCUUGGCUCUC